GUUUUCUUGAGUGUGGAUGAAGUAGGCGGAAUUUGUGGUGUAGCGGUGAAAUGCAUAGAUAUCACGAGGAACACCGAUUGCGCAGGCAGCUUACUAAACCAUAACUGACGCUCAGGCACGAAGGCGUGGGGAUCAAACAGGAUUAGAUACCCUGGUAGUCCACGCAGUAAACGAUGAUUACUGGCUGUUUGCGAUAUACAGUAAGCGGCUGAGCGAAAGCGUUAAGUAAUCCACCUGGGGAGUACGUUCGCAAGAAUGAAACUCAAAGGAAUUGACGGGGGCCCGCACAAGCGGAGGAACAUGUGGUUUAAUUCGAUGAUACGCGAGGAACCUUACCCGGGCUUGAAAUGCAUCUGACAGGGGCAGAGACGUCCUUUCCCUUCGGGGCAGAUGUGUAGGUGCUGCAUGGUUGUCGUCAGCUCGUGCCGUGAGGUGUCGGCUUAAGUGCCAUAACGAGCGCAACCCUCAUCAUUAGUUACCAUCAGGUUAAGCUGGGGUACUCUAAUGAGACUGCCAUCGUAAGAUGCGAGGAAGGUGGGGAUGACGUCAAAUCAGCACGGCCCUUACGGUCCGGGGCGACACACGUGUUACAAUGGGUGGUACAAGGGCAGCUACAUGGCGACAUGAUGCUAAUCUCCAAAACCACUCUCAGUUCGGAUCGGAGUCUGCAACUCGACUCCGUGAAGCUGG
Molecule: ribosomal RNA, 690 nt
Filed under: uncultured bacterium
Lineage: Bacteria
Description: SSU rRNA
Rfam family: Bacterial small subunit ribosomal RNA
Source: RNAcentral